AAAUAAUUCAAUCAUAAUAAAUAAAUUAAUCGAAUAAAUUAAUCAAAUAAAUUCUUCAAAUAUAUCCUGCGCUCUAAAUUGCUAAAUCCCUAAAUCUGUUAGCUGUGUGGGACUUUCAAUCGACGUUCGGCGUGGAAUCAUCGAUGAUCUAGUAGCUGUGUGUUCUUCCAAGGAAUUUUUGUUGUUCAUUAUCACUUCAGCAAUUGUGGCUUGUGGGGAAGUGGGGAAAUCUACUUUCGAAAAACCUGCUGUUUCGCAUGAUGAGCAACUCAGAGGAACAAAAAUGGGGCAUCAGAUUAAGUUACUGGAGGAGAACAGUGAGUUGCAGAAACUCCAUAGGCAAUUGAUCAUUGGUGGUAUUCUAUCAGAGGCUGAAUUUUGGGCCGCUAUAAAACUGGUGGCUACUUUCCUUAGACUUAGUCGUUAUUUAUCUUGCCAAUGGAUUAUAGAAGCUGCUGGAGCAAACUGAAAACAAGAAGUCAAAACAGCGGGUCGCUUUAAAAAAAUGACAUGUGGAGUGUAAAACCAUUAUCCGAUGGUCAGGUGCCUAAAAUGAAGAAAAUGUUGAAGACAUUGACCUUACUUGAGAAGAUUUUUGGGCUGUGGAUAAAUGCUCUAAUAUCAAUAGUUUUGUGUUGAAUUUUUUGAAACUUAAAAUGACUCAAACUAGCUAGUAUGUAAAAACUUAACUAAUCAUUUGGACUUGAUUACAUUUUACUUUUGGGUUUAAAUUAUUAGCUUGUUGCAUAUUUUGAAUUAUAAGAUUAUUAAAGAAUGAUUUUGUUUUGUGACGUGUAUAUAUUGUGUUAUAAUUUAUUUUGUAUGUAAAUAAAAAUUUACUUUAAUACAACUAUUUAUA
Molecule: long non-coding RNA, 859 nt
Organism: Capsicum annuum
Lineage: Eukaryota; Viridiplantae; Streptophyta; Magnoliopsida; Solanales; Solanaceae
Exons: 5
Source: RefSeq, a predicted model, not a curated record